Molecule: ribosomal RNA, 484 nt
Filed under: uncultured bacterium
Lineage: Bacteria
Description: partial 16S ribosomal RNA
Rfam family: Bacterial small subunit ribosomal RNA
Source: RNAcentral
AUUGAACGCUGGCGGCAGGCCUAACACAUGCAAGUCGAGCGGAUGAAGGGAGCUUGCUCCUGGAUUCAGCGGCGGACGGGUGAGUAAUGCCUAGGAAUCUGCCUGGUCGUGGGGGAUAACGUCCGGAAACGGGCGCUAAUACCGCACACGUCCUGAGGGAGAAAGUGGGGGAUCUUCGGACCUCACGCUAUCAGAUGAGCCUAGGUCGGAUUAGCUAGUUGGUGGGGUAAAGGCCUACCAAGGCGACGAUCCGUAACUGGUCUGAGAGGAUGAUCAGUCACACUGGAACUGAGACACGGUCCAGACUCCUACGGGAGGCAGCAGUGGGGAAUAUUGGACAAUGGGCGAAAGCCUGAUCCAGCCAUGCCGCGUGUGUGAAGAAGGUCUUCGGAUUGUAAAGCACUUUAAGUUGGGAGGAAGGGCAGUAAGUUAAUACCUUGCUGUUUUGACGUUACCAACAGAAUAAGCACCGGCUAACUUCGUG